Molecule: ribosomal RNA, 274 nt
Filed under: uncultured bacterium
Lineage: Bacteria
Description: partial 16S ribosomal RNA
Rfam family: Bacterial small subunit ribosomal RNA
Source: RNAcentral
AUACGUAGGUCCCGAACGUUGCGCGAAAUUACUGGGCGUAAAGGGUCCGUAGGCGGUCUGGUAAGUGGAAGGUGAAAGCCUGGGGCUCAACUCCAGAAUUGCCUUCCAAACUGCCGGACUUGAGGCAGGGAGAGGUCGGCGGAAUUCCCGGUGUAGUGGUGAAAUGCGUAGAUAUCGGGAGGAACACCAGUGGCGAAGGCGGCCGACUGGAACUGUCCUGACGCUGAGGGACGAAAGCCAGGGGAGCGAACCGGAUUAGAAACCCGAGUAGUCC